AUCUUAAAGUCAGUAAAUUGCAGAUGUAAGAUUCAAAACCAGACUUCACAUCUACCGACUUCAGUGACCCUGAAAUUUGUUCACAGAGAGCAUUUAACAUAACUGUCUUCAUCAUCUCCUUCUCUACAUUAAAAAUUAUGGAGGCCUUACAAACUGGUAGAAGAUGCAUAACAGAAGAGCUUAUGAAGUUAAAGAUGACAGCAUAGCAGCACUGUUCACACAGACGUUAUUGGUGAUUCACUCUUGAGUCAUGAAAAGUCAACCUUGAGCCACAGAAAGUCAACCUUGAGCCAUGCAGAGUGGAGAGUCAUACAUGCCAUUCCUGGGACCAUCAAAAAUGGCAGAGGUCACACAAAAGGCAAAACUUUUAAGAGGUGUUUUAAACGUCGUAUGGGCCAAAGAGAAGCUGGAUUUCCUAUUGGAGUCAGCUGUAACACACGUGUGAUGAAAUUGGCCUGUGAGGACAAGGCAGUGAGCAGAGAGGACAGCAGUCCUUAUGAGAUCAAGCUCUAAG
Molecule: long non-coding RNA, 514 nt
Filed under: Pan troglodytes (chimpanzee)
Lineage: Eukaryota; Metazoa; Chordata; Mammalia; Primates; Hominidae
Description: lincRNA
Source: RNAcentral